AACCUUAUGGACCUGCGGGCGUAUACCUGCGGAGGGAUCAUUGCUGGAACGCGCUUCGGCGCACCCAGAAACCCUUUGUGAACUUAUACCUUUACUGUUGCCUCGGCGCAGGCCGGCCUCUCUCGAGGUCCCUCUGGCACUGUGCCAGAGGAGCAGCCCGCCGGCGGCCAACUAAACUCUUGUUUCUUAGUGAAUCUCUGAGUAAAAAAAAACAUAAUGAAUCAAAACUUUUAACAAUGG
RNAcentral lists this unclassified non-coding RNA (240 nucleotides) under soil metagenome. RNAcentral's name for it is "partial contains 5.8S ribosomal RNA, internal transcribed spacer 2, and large subunit ribosomal RNA". The record is from RNAcentral.